Molecule: ribosomal RNA, 468 nt
Filed under: uncultured bacterium
Lineage: Bacteria
Description: partial 16S ribosomal RNA
Rfam family: Bacterial small subunit ribosomal RNA
Source: RNAcentral
GACGAACGCUGGCGGCGUGCUUAACACAUGCAAGUCGAACGGAAAGGCCCUGCUUUUGUGGGGUGCUCGAGUGGCGAACGGGUGAGUAACACGUGAGUAACCUGCCCUUGACUUUGGGAUAACUUCAGGAAACUGGGGCUAAUACCGGAUAGGAGCUCCUGCUGCAUGGUGGGGGUUGGAAAGUUUCGGCGGUUGGGGAUGGACUCGCGGCUUAUCAGCUUGUUGGUGGGGUAGUGGCUUACCAAGGCUUUGACGGGUAGCCGGCCGGCGAGGGUGACCGGCCACAUUGGGACUGAGAUACGGCCCAGACUCCUACGGGAGGCAGCAGUGGGGAAUAUUGCACAAUGGGCGGAAGCCUGAUGCAGCAACGCCGCGUGCGGGAUGACGGCCUUCGGGUUGUAAACCGCUUUCGCCUGUGACGAAGCGUGAGUGACGGUAAUGGGUAAAGAAGCACCGGCUAACUACGUG